This 468-nucleotide ribosomal RNA is filed under the name uncultured bacterium. Its description in RNAcentral is "partial 16S ribosomal RNA". It matches the Rfam family "Bacterial small subunit ribosomal RNA", at positions 28 to 507 of the family's 1533-position model. The record is from RNAcentral.
GACGAACGCUGGCGGCGUGCUUAACACAUGCAAGUCGAACGGAAAGGCCCUGCUUUUGUGGGGUGCUCGAGUGGCGAACGGGUGAGUAACACGUGAGUAACCUGCCCUUGACUUUGGGAUAACUUCAGGAAACUGGGGCUAAUACCGGAUAGGAGCUCCUGCUGCAUGGUGGUGGUUGGAAAGUUUGGGCGGUUGGAGAUGGACUCGCGGCUUAUCCGCUUGUUGGUGGGGUAGUGGCUUACCAAGGCUUUGACGGGUAGCCGGCCUGAGAGGGUGACCGGCGACAUUGGGACUGAGAGACGGCCCAGACUCCUACGGGAGGCAGCAGUGGGGAAUAUUGCACAACGGGCGGAAGCCUGAGGCAGCAACGCUGCGUGCGGGAUGACGGGCUUCGGGUUGUAAACCGCUUUCGCCGGUGACGAAGCGUGAGUGACGGUAAUGGGUAAAGAAGCACCGGCUAACUACGUG